Molecule: unclassified non-coding RNA, 391 nt
Filed under: soil metagenome
Description: partial contains 5.8S ribosomal RNA, internal transcribed spacer 2, and large subunit ribosomal RNA
Rfam family: 5.8S ribosomal RNA (bases 1-122)
Source: RNAcentral
GAUGAAGAACGUAGCGAAAUGCGAUACUUGGUGUGAAUUGCAGAAUCCCGUGAACCAUCGAGUCUUUGAACGCAAGUUGCGCCCGAAGCCAUUAGGCCGAGGGCACGCCUGCCUGGGCGUCACACGUCGUUGCCCCCCCAUCUACUCCUUCGGGAUUGCGGGGGGCGGAUGAUGGCCUCCCGUGCGCCUCGUCGCGCGGUUGGCAUAAAUGCCAAGUCCUCGGCGACGCACGCCACGACAAUCGUUGGUUGCGAAACCUCGGUUGCCCGUCGUGUGCGGUCGUCGCGCAUCGAGGGCUCGAAAAAAUUGCCGGGCUCCGGCUCGGCUUUCAACGCGACCCCAGGUCAGGCGGGGUUACCCGCUGAAUUUAAGCAUAUCAAUAAGCGGAGGA